This 264-nucleotide ribosomal RNA is filed under the name uncultured archaeon. RNAcentral describes it as "partial 16S ribosomal RNA". It matches the Rfam family "Archaeal small subunit ribosomal RNA", at positions 717 to 982 of the family's 1478-position model. The record is from RNAcentral.
ACACGACUACAUUAGAUACCCCCGUAGUCCUGGCCGUAAACGAUGUGGACUUGGUGUUGGAAUGGCUCCGAGCUGCUCCAGUGCCGAAGGGAAGCUGUUAAGUCCACCGCCUGGGAAGUACGGUCGUAAGACUGAAACUUAAAGGAAUUGGCGGGGAGCACAACAACGGGCGGAGCUUGCGGUUUAAUUGGAUUCAACGCCGGAAAUCUUACCGGGACCGACAGCAACAUGAAGGCCAAGCUGAAGACUUUGCCGGAUUAGCUG